Molecule: ribosomal RNA, 429 nt
Filed under: Pseudomonadota bacterium
Lineage: Bacteria; Pseudomonadati; Pseudomonadota
Description: Proteobacteria bacterium partial 16S ribosomal RNA
Rfam family: Bacterial small subunit ribosomal RNA
Source: RNAcentral
UGGGGAAUAUUGGACAAUGGGCGAAAGCCUGAUCCAGCCAUGCCGCGUGUGUGAAGAAGGUCUUCGGAUUGUAAAGCACUUUAAGUUGGGAGGAAGGGCAGUAAGCGAAUACCUUGCUGUUUUGACGUUACCGACAGAAUAAGCACCGGCUAACUCUGUGCCAGCAGCCGCGGUAAUACAGAGGGUGCAAGCGUUAAUCGGAAUUACUGGGCGUAAAGCGCGCGUAGGUGGUUCGUUAAGUUGAAUGUGAAAGCCCCGGGCUCAACCUGGGAACUGCAUCCAAAGCUGGCGAGCUAGAGUAGGGCAGAGGGUGGUGGAAUUUCCUGUGUAGCGGUGAGAUGCGUGGAUAUAGGAAGGAACACCAGUGGCGAAGGCGACCACCUGGGCUCAUACUGACACUGAGGUGCGAAAGCGUGGGGAGCAAACAGG